UACGACUACAUAUCAGGCAUAUCAAUAAGCGGAGGAAAAGAAACUAACAAGGAUUCCCCUUAGUAACGGCGAGUGGAGCGGGAAGAGCUCAAAUUUGAAAUCUUCAAGGGUUUACCUUUACGAAUUGUAGUUUAAAGAAGUGUUUUCUGUUGGAGUUUCGGUAAAAGUUCUUUGGAAUAGGACAUCAUAGAGGGUGAGAAUCCCGUAUUUGACCGUUACUUUCCAGCUGUGUGAUACACUUUCAAAGAGUCGGAUUGUUUGGGAAUGCAGUCCAAGAUGGGUGGUAAAUUUCAUCUAAAGCUAAAUAUUGGCGAGAGACCGAUAGCGAACAAGUACCGUGAGGGAAAGAUGAAAAGAACUUUGAAAAGAGAGUUAAACAGUACGUGAAAUUGUCAAAAGGGAAGCGUUUGACACCAGUGUUGUUUAGUUGAAAAUCAAUUCAAUAGUUUUUGAUUCUAAGUAGUAUUGACUUCAUCAGCUUGCUGCUUUCUUCUCAGAAAUUAUUGAAUGCACUUUUCAGUUAACAAGUCAACAUCAAUUUCUUUUGUUGUAAAAGGGUAAGAGGAAGGUGGCUUGCGCUUCGGCUCAAGUGUUUAUAGCCUUUUAUCUCUGCAAUCGGAGAGAUUGAGGUCUGCAGCGUAGAUCCUUCGGGGUUAGAUACAUUGGUGCUAAGCUAUAGCCUUGUAUAGACAACUUGUUGACUAUGCUCAGUCAUGUAGCUUACUCGCUGAUGCUAUUUUACCUACGCUUAGGAUGUUGAUCUACAGAGCGAGAGU
This 776-nucleotide ribosomal RNA is filed under the name uncultured Neocallimastigales. RNAcentral describes it as "partial large subunit ribosomal RNA". It matches the Rfam family "Eukaryotic large subunit ribosomal RNA", at positions 24 to 632 of the family's 3401-position model. Lineage: Eukaryota; Fungi; Neocallimastigomycota; Neocallimastigomycetes; Neocallimastigales. The record is from RNAcentral.